Molecule: non-coding RNA, 121 nt
Filed under: Paramoeba aestuarina
Lineage: Eukaryota; Discosea; Flabellinia; Dactylopodida; Paramoebidae
Source: RNAcentral
AAGGCAAUAAAUAAUUAUAAAAUGUAGAUCUUUUAAUUUUCAAUAAAGGAAACAAAUUCUCUUCAUCCUUCUUUUCUUCUCCUUUUUUUUUUUCCUUUCUUCUGCCCCUCUCUUCCUAUUU